AUUGAACGCUGGCGGCAUGCCUUACACAUGCAAGUCGAACGGCAGCGGGGGAGAAGCUUGCUUUUCCUGCCGGCGAGUGGCGAACGGGUGAGUAAUACAUCGGAACGUGCCCUGUAGUGGGGGAUAACUAGUCGAAAGAUUAGCUAAUACCGCAUACGACCUGAGGGUGAAAGUGGGGGACCGCAAGGCCUCAUGCUAUAGGAGCGGCCGAUGUCUGAUUAGCUAGUUGGUGGGGUAAAGGCCUACCAAGGCGACGAUCAGUAGCUGGUCUGAGAGGACGAUCAGCCACACUGGGACUGAGAAACGGCCCAGACUCCUACGGGAGGCAGCAGUGGGGAAUUUUGGACAAUGGGCGAAAGCCUGAUCCAGCAAUGCCGCGUGUGUGAAGAAGGCCUUCGGGUUGUAAAGCACUUUUGUCCGGAAAGAAAUGGCUCUGGUUAAUACCUGGGGUCGAUGACGGUACCGGAAGAAUAAGGACCGGCUAACUACGUGCCAGCCGCCGCCGCAG
Molecule: ribosomal RNA, 508 nt
Filed under: uncultured bacterium
Lineage: Bacteria
Description: partial 16S ribosomal RNA
Rfam family: Bacterial small subunit ribosomal RNA
Source: RNAcentral